Mycetomoellerius zeteki is the source of this 858-nucleotide RNA transcript. It is a transcript of the gene named Dynein axonemal assembly factor 6, with no coding region annotated. Lineage: Eukaryota; Metazoa; Arthropoda; Insecta; Hymenoptera; Formicidae. The record is from RefSeq and is a predicted model, not a curated record. The transcript is spliced from 5 exons.
GCAGAGAAAGUGUGAGCUUCAGGUAAUAUUCCGUGCGUAUAUAAUAUUCGCGAUGGACGGCUAUUUCAGUCCGGCAGAUUUACAGGCUCUCCAAAAUUUAAUUUGUCCAUCGAAGGACGACUCCGACAGCGAGAAUGAUCUACCGCAGGCGGGUGCGAGGAAGUUGGGACCUAGUGAUAUUGGCACGCCGAGUGAUCCUCCCCAGGAUCAUUUGGGACCUCAUGCACUCCUGCAAAGCAAAGGUGACGAUAUUUGGCAUCCCUCGGAGGCGGUUGACACUCAGAGCUUGCAGGAUUACGACCCUAGAAAGGUGCCCGAAUACGAGAUGAAGUUUAAACAGGCAGUGACAGCUGAAGAUGUUUAUUUAGGAAUGGGCUUUAAAACGCCGAGCACGGCGUCCUGUGAGUGGCUGUCGGUGCUGGUGAAAUUGCCCCAGGAAAUGCGGGAAAAAGUCGAGCUCUCCGUGGAAUCUGAGGCGAUUGACGUGCGCAGUCCAAGAUAUCGGCUGCAUCUACCGACACCACAUUCGGUGGAUCCCAACGCGUCCUCCGCCAAAUGGCACAGUGAUACUUCCACUCUAGAGGUCACUCUGAAACUCACACGUGAGCUGGAUAACGUAAACUUUUGAUUUUGGAUCGAUGCGUCGUCACUCUGGAUCGCCUAUCGAAGCAACUUAUGGCGUACAACUAUCAGGGAUAGACCGGCACGAUCGUACUGUGAGACAAUCGUUCGGACGAUUGUACUUGACGAGGACUUCCUGGAUUUUGAUAGCAGGCACUCCAGGAGGAUGCUAGAGAAUGCACUUGCAUCCUCGUUCAAGAGAAUAGAAGUUAAAUCACAAGUUGAUCUUCAUUUCCA